Molecule: long non-coding RNA, 2185 nt
Organism: Gopherus flavomarginatus (Mexican gopher tortoise)
Lineage: Eukaryota; Metazoa; Chordata; Testudines; Testudinidae
Exons: 4
Source: RefSeq, a predicted model, not a curated record
AGUUACUCUGGCUGGUGGGGAAGGGGGACUGAGAGCCAUACCAAGGCAACCUGAAUCCUGCCAGACCUCCUACUGGAGGCCAGGCUUGACAUCUUCCAUCCAGCUGCUCCAGGUCAUUUCUGAGGCAUGGCUACUAGGAAGUGCCAACAGAUGGAGUGAGGCCUCAUGGGCACAGAGGGGGGACAGAGUUAUGCUACAGUGACACUGGCCUUUGCACAGCUAUGCACCUGAACCUUACAUCAUGCUGAUGCCUAAACCAUUCUCUUACCUCUUUUAUUUCCAACAGUCAGGCCCUGACUCCAUCCUCUCCCAGUACGGCAGCUGUUGGUGGACAUGCCUCUAAAGAAAGCACUAGCAACAACUGCUAAUUUACUGACGAGUCACAACAGCAAAAUUUUCUCCUGGCCUGAAUCUUCUCAAAACAGCAAAUGAAGAGAUUGUUCAUGAUGCUUGUGCUGUAGGAAAGUAAAAAAGGGAAAAGGAGCCUCACACAGCAUUUGCCUCCUGCUGCCAGACUCGGAAGCAAGACGCCGGAACCACUGAGUUGUACCUGAGUCUCCCAUGUGUAUUACUUAGGUCAAAUGUGUUACACAAAGGAGCAAUUCCAUAUUCAGGAGGCAGAAGGUGGUCCUGCUCCUGGCACUUGGGAAUCCCGAUUAUCCAAGAAAGCUGCACUUACGUAUCUUCUAUCAGAAAUAAGUUCCACAGUCAAGAAAGAGGUGAAGGGAAAAGGCAGAAGGUGACAAGGGAAGCAGCAGAGUACUGGAGUGGUAACUACUAAUUGUAUGGGGGGACAGGGGAGUUAAAGAGCAAUUCACUGAAGAGGAUGAGGACUGUGAAAGGCAGCAGCAAAACUGAUGGUGGGAGAGGAGUUUGGAGGGGAAGCAGCAUAGCUGUUUGAAUAAUGAAUUGUUAAUUUGCAAUUAUGCUCAUCUUCACUGCAGUCUCGUAACACAGGUCUUUGUGGCAAGCAGAAUACCGAUAUGUAGCUACAAACACCUGCACAGGCCCAAUACCUACCAGCCCCAUGCCUAUUAACUCAGUUAAACAGACAUUAAAUAGGAAAAAUGGCGAGGUCCCCCAUUUAAUUCAGGACAGGACAGCAUAUUGGUAAGAAACAGAGUGUCCCAGCUUCCAGCUAGUAGGAUUCCAAUUAGGGUGCUGUCUCUGGACCCUUUUCUAGAUGUUAAGUCUAGAACCCUCUUCACUUCCCAGCACUGGGAGGAAGGGCAAAGCCACCUCCCUGUUUCUUCCCAAACUCAACUUUUAGAUUCUUUUCUCCUAAGUUUGCUGUUUCUUUGGAAAAUACUGAGCAUCUUCAGAAACACAGAUGCAGUGUUUAGUUCCUGCUGGGAGAGGGGAAAGGAGUCUCCUUUCCUUAGCCUCUUCCGCUACUGCUCAGCAAGAGCCUUCAGAAGGAGCAGAAUGAAACUGACAAGCUUGUAACGGAGCAUCCUGGUAGCUGUUCAGAAAACCGUCAGGCAGCAGUGACACUGUGAGGACACUGGGAGUCAGGAUGCCCACGUUCUGCUCUAAGUUCUCCACAGACUCCCUUCUAGAACAGGAGCCUGGGGGUCUGAAUCUUUUUGUCCUGCACCAGGUGCAGUCGUUUACACCAGUGUAAAGUGAAUAUAAAAUGAUGCUAUUCUGAUUUGUGACAUUUUACACCAAUGCAACACACAAUCAGGCCUUAGAAGGCAGGAUUCUGUUCCCAACUCUAAUAGGAGGAUGGAGUGCCUGGUGCUUUGCUUUAGUCUCUCCUGCUGAGCACAUGACAAGGAAAUUAUUUUAUUUUCCAGAGAGAAAGUGAGACCAACUUGUGGUUUGCGCGCGCGCACACACCCACACUCACCCCCUCACACGGCAAUUUAAAUAUAUUUCUGCGUAAAGGAAAAGCUCAUCACCUUUACUUAUAUUAUUCAUCCUUGCAAUUGGUGAAUGCUGAUAUGUUGAAAACAAAUGUGUGGUUCUAAAAACAAUUUAUUGUGAUUUCUCCUUUUCAGUAUGAAUAGCUUAGGCUAAUAUUUUCAAAGGGGCUGUGAGGAGCUAAACACCCAACUCUCAUGUCUAAAAAUCCCAGCCUCAGUCUGCAAAGAGCAUUAGAAUAGCAAACAACAAUGGACUAAUAAUCCUUUAGUAGGGAGUAUGGCAGGGAAAAGGCUAUACUAAUACUGCAUGCUUUCUC